UACGAAGGGGGCUAGCGUUGCUCGGAAUUACUGGGCGUAAAGGGAGCGUAGGCGGACAUUUAAGUCAGGGGUGAAAUCCCAGAGCUCAACUCUGGAACUGCCUUUGAUACUGGGUGUCUUGAGUGUGAGAGAGGUAUGUAGAACUCCGAGUGUAGAGGUGAAAUUCGUAGAUAUUCGGAAGAACACCAGUGGCGAAGGCGACAUACUGGCUCAUUACUGACGCUGAGGCUCGAAAGCGUGGGGAGCAAACAGG
RNAcentral lists this ribosomal RNA (253 nucleotides) under uncultured bacterium. RNAcentral's name for it is "partial 16S ribosomal RNA". It matches the Rfam family "Bacterial small subunit ribosomal RNA", at positions 524 to 776 of the family's 1533-position model. The record is from RNAcentral.